Molecule: ribosomal RNA, 457 nt
Filed under: uncultured bacterium
Lineage: Bacteria
Description: bacterial SSU rRNA
Rfam family: Bacterial small subunit ribosomal RNA
Source: RNAcentral
UACGGAAGGCAGCAGUGGGGAAUAUUGCACAAUGGGCGAAAGCCUGAUGCAGCUAUGCCGCGUGUAUGAAGAAGGCCUUAGGGUUGUAAAGUACUUUCAUCGGGGAGGAAAAAAACAAAACUAAUAAUUUUAUUUCUUGACGUUACCCGAAAAAGAAGCACCGGCUAACUCCGUGCCAGCAGCCGCGGUAAUACGGAGGGUGCUAGCGUUAAUCAGAAUUACUGGGCGUAAAGAGCACGUAGGUGGUUUUUUUAAGUCAGAUGUGAAAUCCCUGGGCUUAACCUAGGAACUGCAUUUUGAAACUGAAAUACUAGAGUAUCAUAGAGGGAGGUAGAAUUCUAGGUGUAGCGGUGAAAUGCGUAGAUAUCUGGAGGAAUACCUGUGGCGAAAGCGGCCUCCUAAACGAAUACUGACACUGAGGUGCGAAAGCGUGGGGAGCAAACAGGGAUUAGAUACC